Molecule: ribosomal RNA, 446 nt
Filed under: bacterium enrichment culture clone NPHTC-038
Lineage: Bacteria
Description: bacterial SSU rRNA
Rfam family: Bacterial small subunit ribosomal RNA
Source: RNAcentral
GUUUGGACAUGGCUCAGAUUGAACGCUGGCGGUAUGCUUAACACAUGCAAGUCGAACGGAAACGAAACUAGCUUGCUAGUUGGCGUCGAGUGGCGGACGGGUGAGUAACGCGUAGGAAUCUACCUAGUAGUGGGGGAUAGCCCGAAGAAAUUCGGAUUAAUACCGCAUAAUCUAUUCGUAGUAAAGUGGGGGACUUUCGAGCCUCACGCUAUUAGAUGAGCCUGCGUAAGAUUAGCUUGUUGGUAGGGUAAAAGCCUACCAAGGCUACGAUCUUUAGCUGGUCUGAGAGGAUGAUCAGCCACAUCGGGACUGAGACACGGCCCGAACUCCUACGGGAGGCAGCAGUGGGGAAUAUUGGACAAUGGGGGCAACCCUGAUCCAGCAAUACCGCGUGUGUGAAGAAGGCCUGAGGGUUGUAAAGCACUUUCAAUUGUGAAGAAAAGUUA